RNAcentral lists this ribosomal RNA (497 nucleotides) under uncultured bacterium. RNAcentral's name for it is "partial 16S ribosomal RNA". It matches the Rfam family "Bacterial small subunit ribosomal RNA", at positions 28 to 507 of the family's 1533-position model. The record is from RNAcentral.
GAUGAACGCUGGCGGCGUGCCUAAUACAUGCAAGUCGAGCGAACGGACGAGAAGCUUGCUUCUCUGAUGUUAGCGGCGGACGGGUGAGUAACACGUGGAUAACCUACCUAUAAGACUGGGAUAACUUCGGGAAACCGUAGCUAAUACCGGAUAAUAUUUUGAACCGCAUGGUUCAAAAGUGAAAGACGGUCUUGCUGUCACUUAUAGAUGGAUCCGCGCUGCAUUAGCUAGUUGGUAAGGUAACGGCUUACCAAGGCAACGAUGCAUAGCCGACCUGAGAGGGUGAUCGGCCACACUGGAACUGAGACACGGUCCAGACUCCUACGGGAGGCAGCUGUAGGGAAUCUUCCGCAAUGGGCGAAAGCCUGACGGAGCAACGCCGCGUGAGUGAUGAAGGUCUUCGGAUCGUAAAACUCUGUUAUUAGGGAAGAACAUAUGUGUAAGUAACUGUGCACAUCUUGACGGUACCUAAUCAGAAAGCCACGGCUAACUACGUG